AGUGAACGCUGGCGGUAGGCCUAACACAUGCAAGUCGAACGGCAGCACAGUAAGAGCUUGCUCUUACGGGUGGCGAGUGGCGGACGGGUGAGGAAUACAUCGGAAUCUACUUUUUCGUGGGGGAUAACGUAGGGAAACUUACGCUAAUACCGCAUACGACCUACGGGUGAAAGCAGGGGAUCUUCGGACCUUGCGCGAUUGAAUGAGCCGAUGUCGGAUUAGCUAGUUGGCGGGGUAAAGGCCCACCAAGGCGACGAUCCGUAGCUGGUCUGAGAGGAUGAUCAGCCACACUGGAACUGAGACACGGUCCAGACUCCUACGGGAGGCAGGAGUGGGGAAGAUUGGACAAUGGGCGCAAGCCUGAUCCAGCCAUACCGCGUGGGUGAAGAAGGCCUUCGGGUUGUAAAGCCCUUUUGUUGGGAAAGAAAGGCAGCAGGUUAAUACCCCGCUGUUCUGACGGUACCCAAAGAAUAAGCACCGGCUAACUUCGUG
This 492-nucleotide ribosomal RNA is filed under the name uncultured bacterium. RNAcentral's name for it is "partial 16S ribosomal RNA". It matches the Rfam family "Bacterial small subunit ribosomal RNA", at positions 29 to 507 of the family's 1533-position model. The record is from RNAcentral.